CAGGAGUUAGGGCGAAUUAUUCCCAUCAAUCUUAGUUGGCGCGGCAGAGCUCACGAACAAUUGUCGACUGAGCAGAGGUUUAGUCCCGAGUAAUGGCGUUAACAAUGAGCG
RNAcentral lists this ribosomal RNA (111 nucleotides) under Shewanella putrefaciens. Lineage: Bacteria; Pseudomonadati; Pseudomonadota; Gammaproteobacteria; Alteromonadales; Shewanellaceae. The record is from RNAcentral.